AUGAGUAACUAAAAAGAGUUUAUACUCUCGCCUUAAGCUUAUGGCUAAGUAAAGUAACGGCCUCUAAGUUUUUAACCUGAAGGUUAAAAUGAUGAGAAAAUCUUUUUCUUUUAUUAAAAGACAACAUUUUUAAGUGAAAAGUGUGCAGGAAAUAUUUUAAUAAGAAAACAUGAGUGUGGACUAAAUAAACUGAAAUAGAUGAAUAAAACACAAGUGUUUUAACCGUACCUAGAAACUGCAACAAGUAAGCUAGUAGAGGAUACGAAGGCGUAAAUGAGAUAACAAUCAUAAAGGAACUCGGCAAAAUAACUACCGUAACUUAGGGAUAAGGAGGGCUCAUUAUUCUUGAUUAAUAUCAAGUAAAAAGGAAGAAGCAUGAAAUAGUGUUGUACGACUGUUUAAUUAAAACAAAGCACUUUGCAAAAAGAUGAUAAAUCUAAGUAUUGAGUGUGAAAUCUGCCCGAUGUCGGCUGGUUAACGAAGAUAACUAAAUUUUUAAAGGUUUGGUGUUGCAGGAAACCCCGAUUAAUGGCGGCCUUAACGUGAGGGUCCUAAGGUAGCGAAAUGCCUUGGCCGUUAAAUGCGGUCUUGCAUGAAUGGUGUAACGAUACAACAGCUGUCUCUAUGAUUGACUCAGUGAAAUU
Molecule: non-coding RNA, 644 nt
Filed under: Magnaporthiopsis poae ATCC 64411
Lineage: Eukaryota; Fungi; Ascomycota; Sordariomycetes; Magnaporthales; Magnaporthaceae
Description: Magnaporthe poae ATCC 64411 Bacterial large subunit ribosomal RNA
Rfam family: Bacterial large subunit ribosomal RNA
Source: Rfam by way of RNAcentral